Molecule: ribosomal RNA, 281 nt
Filed under: uncultured bacterium
Lineage: Bacteria
Description: partial 16S ribosomal RNA
Rfam family: Bacterial small subunit ribosomal RNA (bases 45-281)
Source: RNAcentral
UACGUAGAGUAGCAACGACGGUGUCCGGAACUUAAGUUGGGUCGGUAAAGGGUACGUAGGCGGAUAGUAAAGUCAAGCGUGAAAGGUGUCGGCUUAACCGACAGACUGCGUUUGAAACUGAUUAUCUUGAGUGUAACAGAGGAGAGUGGAAUUCCUAGUGUAGUGGUGAAAUACGUAGAUAUUAGGAAGAACACCAGUGGCGAAGGCGACUCUCUGGGUUAACACUGAACGCUGAGGUACGAAAGCUGGGGGAGCAAACGGGAUUAGGAUACCCGGGUAGU